This 1659-nucleotide long non-coding RNA is filed under the name Sus scrofa (pig). RNAcentral's name for it is "lncRNA (ENSSSCG00005022845.1)". Lineage: Eukaryota; Metazoa; Chordata; Mammalia; Artiodactyla; Suidae. The record is from RNAcentral.
GGUGUGAUCUGGAUCCUGAUCCUUGGUUGAAAUAUUCAGUGAAUGAAGGUCUGAGGGUCUUCCACUGUUUGGACAGGAAGGUAUUGGUAUGUAAGCCCGGAACUCAGGGUAGUUAGUGUAAUUCAUGGUUCUGUGGUGAGUGGGACUCUGAAAUUUGGGGGAGGAAAGGGAAUACGAUGCAAAUGCCCACCACGCCCCUCUCACUCCUGUGGAAGACUGAUGAUAUAAGGUGUUUCAGGGUAGUCUGGAGACUCUGAGGGCAAAGGGGUAACAUCCCAGGUCAGGAAGAAUAGAGUGGCCAUAUCUUCCCUACGUUUUCAGAUCUUUAGAUAAACUAAAGCACAGCCCAGGUCCCUCCUGUGAGUGGAGAUGGGAGCACUAGGUGAAACUCUAGAACUGGAAGGGAGAAUUUGCUCUCUGCCAGAGAAGAUGAGCUGCCCAUCUCAGCAGCUGUCCAGCAGAAGCCAGACAUCUCUUUGGGAAGGGAAGAAGGAGCUUGGCUGAAAUGGCCUUUAAGUUUCUUAUGCCUUAGCUGGGUGAGAUGUUAUGGAGCUAGGACCAUGUCUGAACUGCUUCCUCCCUUUCUGCAGAGCACAAAGCCAAGCAGCUUGUAAUUGGUUGGUGCAGGUUGAAGCCCCCGCUCUCCCACUGUCUCCCCAUGACGCAGGCCAAGAUGCUGCCUCUAGUCAUACCUCUAGGGCUCACCCAAGCUGGUCAUCACCAUAUAGCCCAGAGAGAGUAGCUUCUUUGCCAUAGAGCCCAUGCCCCCCCAAGACCUCUGAUGAGACCGGUCAUAAUUUAGACCUACUGGCCAGGAGGGCCCUUGGUGACAGCCAGGAAUCAGGAAUCAGUAAAGGCCAAGCAGGACCCAGAACACGGGUUUUGCUUGCCAUACACAUUAAUUCCAGAGGUGAAUUCUAACUCCUCCUCCUCCCCAAUCGAGGCCUGUUAGAGCAGAUUGAAAACACAAAAGCACAGCGACUCAGUGGACACGUGAUUAUAAGCGCCCCCCAGUGCAUCCAUUUCAUUGCCAGGUAGAUCCUGAAAUAGCCCAGGCUAAUCCAGUCUAACCCAUUAUUGGCAAUCAAACUUGAAAGCACUUUUCUUCCUUUUCAUUCCACCCUACAUCUUACCAGCUAAUGAAAGGCAGAGUCAGGGCUUCUACCAUUGCCUUGGCUACUGAACACCAUCACAGCCCUAGAAGGGCCAUUGCGGGGGUCCCAUCAACUGCAAGGAGACUGACAUGUUCACAUCCAUGGGGCAUAUGAUACUGCAUGAAUGCCAAGUCUCCACACUGUUUGCAGCCUCCUCUGUGAAUCCCAAUGGCCUGCACUUGUACAGUUUGGGUGUUUGAUAGAUAAAGCACGUAUGAGAAGAGAAAACAAAAUAAAUCAACUUUUUUAAAAAGCCAGCACUGUGCUGUCAAUGUUCAUUUUUUUUUUCCUUUCCAAUUCUAGUUUAAAAAAAGCCGGAGGUAAAUAAUGUCAGGUCAAUGAAUAUCAGAUAUAUUUUUUGACUGUACAUUACAGUGAAGUGUAAUCUUUUUACACCUGCAAGUCCAUCUUAUUUAUUCUUGUAAAUGUUCCCUGACAAUGUUUGUAAUAUGGCUGUGUUGAAAACCUAUACAAUAAAGCUGUGACCCUGAGAUUCAUGUUUUCC